This 497-nucleotide ribosomal RNA is filed under the name uncultured bacterium. RNAcentral's name for it is "partial 16S ribosomal RNA". It matches the Rfam family "Bacterial small subunit ribosomal RNA", at positions 28 to 507 of the family's 1533-position model. The record is from RNAcentral.
GACGAACGCUGGCGGCGUGCUUAACACAUGCAAGUCGAACGGUGAAGCCCGGCUUUUGUGCCGUUCUGAAGUGCCGCACACGUGUGUAUAACGUGAGUGACAUGCCCCUUACUGUGGGGUAACAUAUGUGAACUCGAUCGAAUACACGGCAUAACCUCUUUAUACAUAAGUUUUAAGUUAAAAAUUUGCAAUUGCAUCACUCACUCAUGAUUCAGCGUUGUAUUAGUUAGUUGGUGAGGUACAGACUCACCAAGGCGAUGAUACAGAGCCGAACUGAUCGGGCGAUCGGCCACAUUGAGACUGAGACACGGCCCAAACGCCUACAGGAGGCAGCAGUAGGGAAUCUUCAGCAAUGGACGAGAGUCUGAGCGAGCAACGCCGCGUGAGGGAAGAAGGUUUUCGGAUCGGAAAACUCUGUUGGUAGAGAAGAACGUUGGUGAGAGUGGAAAGCUCAUCAAGUGACGGUAACUACCCAGAAAGGGACGGCUAACUACGUG